RNAcentral lists this ribosomal RNA (253 nucleotides) under uncultured bacterium. RNAcentral describes it as "partial 16S ribosomal RNA". It matches the Rfam family "Bacterial small subunit ribosomal RNA", at positions 524 to 776 of the family's 1533-position model. The record is from RNAcentral.
UACGAAGGGGGCUAGCGUUGUUCGGAUUUACUGGGCGUAAAGCGCACGUAGGCGGACUAUUAAGUCAGGGGUGAAAUCCCGGGGCUCAACCCCGGAACUGCCUUUGAUACUGGUAGUCUUGAGUUCGAGAGAGGUGAGUGGAAUUCCGAGUGUAGAGGUGAAAUUCGUAGAUAUUCGGAGGAACACCAGUGGCGAAGGCGGCUCACUGGCUCGAUACUGACGUUGAGGUGCGAAAGCGUGGGGAGCAAACAGG